UACAGAGGGUGCGAGCGUUGUUCGGAAUUAUUGGGCGUAAAGGGCGCGUAGGCGGUGCGGUAAGUCACCUGUGAAAUCUCCUGGCUCAACUGGGAGCUUGCAGGCGAAACUGCCGUGCUGGAGUGUGGGAGAGGUGCGUGGAAUUCCUGGUGUAGCGGUGAAAUGCGUAGAUAUCAGGAGGAACGCCGGUGGCGAAGGCGGGUCUCUGGGCAGUAACUGACGCUGAGGAGCGAAGGCGUGGGGAGCAAACAGG
Molecule: ribosomal RNA, 253 nt
Filed under: uncultured bacterium
Lineage: Bacteria
Description: partial 16S ribosomal RNA
Rfam family: Bacterial small subunit ribosomal RNA
Source: RNAcentral